AACGAACGCUGGCGGCAUGCCUAACACAUGCAAGUCGAACGAGACCUUCGGGUCUAGUGGCGCACGGGUGCGUAACGCGUGGGAACCUGCCCUUAGGUUCGGAAUAACUCCCCGAAAGGGGUGCUAAUACCGGAUAAUGUCUUCGGACCAAAGAUUUAUCGCCUUUGGAUGGGCCCGCGUUGGAUUAGCUAGUUGGUAGGGUAAAAGCCUACCAAGGCGACGAUCCAUAGCUGGUCUGAGAGGAUGAUCAGCCACACUGGGACUGAGACACGGCCCAGACUCCUACGGGAGGCAGCAGUGGGGAAUAUAGGACAAUGGGCGAAAGGCUGAUCCAGCAAUGCCGCGUGAGUGAUGAAGGCCUUAGGGUUGUAAAGCUCUUUUACCCGGGAUGAUAAUGACAGUACCGGGAGAAUAAGCUCCGGCUAACUCCGUG
RNAcentral lists this ribosomal RNA (433 nucleotides) under uncultured bacterium. RNAcentral describes it as "partial 16S ribosomal RNA". It matches the Rfam family "Bacterial small subunit ribosomal RNA", at positions 29 to 507 of the family's 1533-position model. The record is from RNAcentral.